This 419-nucleotide ribosomal RNA is filed under the name uncultured bacterium. RNAcentral describes it as "partial 16S ribosomal RNA". It matches the Rfam family "Bacterial small subunit ribosomal RNA", at positions 363 to 774 of the family's 1533-position model. The record is from RNAcentral.
UUUGGAUAAUGGGGGAAACCCUGAUCCAGCCAUCCCGCGUGUAUGAUGAAGGCCCUCGGGUUGUAAAGUACUUUUGGCUGAGAAGAAAAGGUAUCUCCUAAUACGAUAUAUUGCUGCCGGUACCUGACGAAUAAGCACCGGCUAAAUACGUGCCAGCAGCCGCGGUAAUACGUAGGGUGCAAGCUGUAAUCGGAAUUACUGGGCUUAAAGCGUGUGCAGGCGGUUCGGAAAGAAAGAUGUGAAAUCCCAGGGCUCAACCUUGGAACUGCAUUUUUAACUGCCGAACUAGAGUAUGUCAGAGGGGGGUAGAAUUCCACGUGUAGCAGUGAAAUGCGUAGAUAUGUGGAGGAAUACCGAUGGCGAAGGCAGCCCCCUGGGAUAAUACUGACGCUCAGACACGAAAGCGUGGGGAGCAAACA